CAGCACCGCGGUAAUACGGAGGGUGCAAGCGUUAAUCGGAAUUACUGGGCGUAAAGCGCACGCAGGCGGUCUGACAAGUCAGAUGUGAAAUCCCCGGGCUUAACCUGGGAACUGCAUUUGAAACUGUCAGGCUGGAGUCUUGUAGAGGGGGGUAGAAUUCCAGGUGUAGCGGUGAAAUGCGUAGAGAUCUGGAGGAAUACCGGUGGCGAAGGCGGCCCCCUGGACAAAGACUGACGCUCAGGUGCGAAAGCGUGGGGAGCAAACAGGAUUAGAUACCCGUGUAGUCCCUGUCUCUUAUACA
Molecule: ribosomal RNA, 301 nt
Filed under: uncultured bacterium
Lineage: Bacteria
Description: partial 16S ribosomal RNA
Rfam family: Bacterial small subunit ribosomal RNA
Source: RNAcentral